GAUGAACGCUGGCGGCGUGCUUAACACAUGCAAGUCGAACGGGAUCCAAGGGGUGCUUGCACUUUUUGGUGAGAGUGGCGAACGGGUGAGUAACACGUGAGUAACCUGUCCUUUUCUUUGGGAUAAGCAUUCGAAAGGGUGUUUAAUACCUUAUGUUCUGUCUGCCUCGCAUGGGGUGGGUGGGAAAGGCUUUGGCCGGAUUUGGGUGGGCUCGCGGUCUAUCAGCUUGUUGGUGGGGUGAUGGCUUACCAAGGCUUUGACGGGUAGCCGGCCUGAGAGGGUGGUCGGUCACAUUGGGACUGAGAUGCGGCCCAGACUCCUGCGGGAGGCAGCAGUGGGGGAAAUUGCACAAUGGGCGAAAGCCUGAUGCAGCGACGCCGCGUGGGGGAGGAAGGCCGUCGGGUUGUAAACUUCUUUUGCUCUGAACAAGGCAUGCCAGUGGGUGUGUGGAGUGUAGGGGUUGAUUAGCGCCGGCUAACUACGUG
Molecule: ribosomal RNA, 485 nt
Filed under: uncultured bacterium
Lineage: Bacteria
Description: partial 16S ribosomal RNA
Rfam family: Bacterial small subunit ribosomal RNA
Source: RNAcentral